Molecule: ribosomal RNA, 374 nt
Filed under: uncultured bacterium
Lineage: Bacteria
Description: bacterial SSU rRNA
Rfam family: Bacterial small subunit ribosomal RNA
Source: RNAcentral
AUUGAACGCUGGCGGCAUGCCUUACACAUGCAAGUCGAACGGCAGCACGGGGGCAACCCUGGUGGCGAGUGGCGAACGGGUGAGUAAUGCAUCGGAACGUGCCCCGUAGCGGGGGAUAACCAGUCGAAAGACUGGCUAAUACCGCAUACGCUCCACGGAGGAAAGCAGGGGAUCGCAAGACCUUGCACUAUGGGAGCGGCCGAUGCCCGAUUAGCUAGUUGGUGAGGUAAAGGCUCACCAAGGCGACGACGGGUAGCCGGCCUGAGAGGGCGACCGGCCACACUGGGACUGAGACACGGCCCAGACUCCUACGGGAGGCAGCAGUGGGGAAUCUUGCGCAAUGGGCGAAAGCCUGACGCAGCGACGCCGCGUGA